Molecule: long non-coding RNA, 1854 nt
Organism: Amphiprion ocellaris (clown anemonefish)
Lineage: Eukaryota; Metazoa; Chordata; Actinopteri; Pomacentridae
Exons: 2
Source: RefSeq, a predicted model, not a curated record
UGCCCGUCGCUGCUCCAUUGAUUCCACAUACUUAUCUCCUACAAUGGCACAUUAGACCAUUAGUUCCCUAAUAGCGGGUAAACAUUCGAGACAAUCUCAAGGCAAACAGAGAAACACAAUCGAUGCCUCUCAGUCUUCCAGAAAUACAAUCCUGCACCUGGACUCCCCCCUGAGUGGCCGAGCACCUGCACGAGAAAGCAACAGAGAGACAGUGUCCCUUUAAGGGAUAACUCAGCGAGGAAGAAGAAGAAAAACUGCAAAGAAGGAAGGAGAGGAGGUGUGUACGUGUACAUGUCAAACUGAUAGACACUUGGGAGGCAGGCAGGGAAAGAAAGAGGGGAGAGGAAGAUAAGGAGAGAGAUAAAGACGGAGAGACACAACAUUGCAUUAGGCACUAAGAGCCACUGCUUGCUGGCUAAAGGCUAAUGCAAUUGCCACACAAUAAGAGCGUCUCAGUGGAGGCAGUAAAAAAAAAGAAAAAACUGGAGAGGGGAAUGUAAGAGGAGAGUCAAGGAGGGAGGGAGGGAGGGAGGUGAACUGGCAGCUCUGCCUCCAGACUCUCAUAUGGAUCUCCUGGGACAAUGGUUGAAAGUCUCUCUCUGUCUCUACUGUAACUCCUGGCUGAGUGGCUCGGAGCUCCGCCGGGUCUCCAGAGUGAUUUAUCAGGUUUGCAUGGAGGAGGAGAGUCGGAGAGGGAGAGGACGGGGGGAGACAACUCCGGUAGCAGGCAGGCAGCAGUUACCAGCCGGCUGGGUGUGUUAACUCCACAUCUGACCUCUAUGGGAGCAGAGCAGCUUCCUCUCCUCCUGCUGGGAACCAGGAGGACACAUCUGCUCCUUCAACCCCGCUCCGGCUGCUUCUCGCUGGGGUUGCCGGGCUCCAGGAACCACAGCAGGAGAACUGAGGAUCGCACUGCUUCUUGGACUGGAAAUGUCAGUUAGUGAGCCAGUAAACCGGCCGGGUGGUGGGCUUCCUUCCCAAAGAGCUCCACUUGGUGCCUAUCCUCAUCUGAACUCUGUGGUGGAUCUGUGGGCACGACACUCCACAGCUGCCCUGGACGAAGCCGUGUGCAGCCCAGGAGGACGGAGCCGUACGGAGGCCUCUCUGCCCCGGCUGUGGUGGGGAGGGUUCCUGGCACCGUGAUUUGAUGCACAAAGAGAAACAAAAAUCACAUUGCCAGGGAUUUCCACUCCUUCACAGCUCAGCAGGUGACUCACGGUGCCUUUUAGUUGAUUCCUGACGCCGUAGAAGUGACGUCGGAGAGCUCAGAUGCUCAACUUGUGGAUUCUCACAUGCAAGACUGUGGGAAAAAAGCGAAUAAGGGUCUGUCCAGAAUUUGAGGACAUUUGGGCUUCAAAAUUGUUGAAAUAUUUACCUUUUACAAUCUCUUUACCAGUUUUCUGCUCCAUAUUCUUCAGUAAUAGGGACUGAUUGGCCCAGCUUCCACAUCGAUGGAAGCAUUUUUAUUCCAUGCUUUCUGUGUUGUUUGCUAACCCUACUCUACAUGACAAAAACAAGACACAAAACAGCAAAAACAAGACACAAAACAGCAAAAACAAGACAGAAAAUGACAAAACGACAGAAAAUGAUUAAAAAAACAAGACAAAAUGACAAAAACAAGACACAAAGCAACAAAUUGAGACACAAAACGAAAAAAACAAGAAUGAAAAUGACAAAAACAAGACAAAAACAACAAAAACAAAACAAAAUGACAAAAACAAGACAGAAAACAACAAAAAUGAGACAUGAAACAAGAAAAACAAGACCGAAAACGACAAAAACAAGACACAAUAUGACAAAAACAAGACACAAAAUGACAAAAACAAGACAGAAAACAACAAAAACAAGACAAAA